This 75-nucleotide transfer RNA is filed under the name Eggerthella sp. Its description in RNAcentral is "tRNA-Val". It matches the Rfam family "tRNA". Rfam says of the family: Transfer RNA (tRNA) molecules are approximately 80 nucleotides in length. The record is from RNAcentral. Lineage: Bacteria; Bacillati; Actinomycetota; Coriobacteriia; Eggerthellales; Eggerthellaceae.
GGACGCUUAGCUCAGCGGGUGAGCAUCGCCUUCACACGGCGGGGGUCGCUGGUUCAAACCCAGUAGCGUCCACCA